RNAcentral lists this ribosomal RNA (256 nucleotides) under uncultured bacterium. RNAcentral describes it as "partial small subunit ribosomal RNA". It matches the Rfam family "Bacterial small subunit ribosomal RNA", at positions 26 to 285 of the family's 1533-position model. The record is from RNAcentral.
AGGACGAACGCUGGCGGCGUGCUUAACACAUGCAAGUCGAACGGAAAGGCCCGCUUGCGGGUACUCGAGUGGCGAACGGGUGAGUAACACGUGGGCAACCUGCCCUCAGCUUCGGGAUAACACUUGGAAACAGGUGCUAAUACCGGAUAAUAACCUUUCAUCGCAUGGUGGUUGGUUCAAAGUUUUCGGCUGAGGAUGGGCCCGCGGCCUAUCAGCUUGUUGGUGGGGUAAUGGCCUACCAAGGCGACGACGGGUA